UACAGAGGUCUCAAGCGUUGUUCGGAUUCAUUGGGCGUAAAGGGUGCGUAGGCGGCGCGGUAAGUCGGGUGUGAAAUCUCGGGGCUUAACUCCGAAACUGCAUUCGAUACUGCUGUGCUUGAGGACUGGAGAGGAGACUGGAAUUUACGGUGUAGCGGUGAAAUGCGUAGAUAUCUGGAGGAACACCGGUGGCGAAGGCGGCAUCCUGGACCAACACUGACACUGAGGAGCGAAAGCCAGGGGAGCAAACGGG
RNAcentral lists this ribosomal RNA (253 nucleotides) under uncultured bacterium. RNAcentral's name for it is "partial 16S ribosomal RNA". It matches the Rfam family "Bacterial small subunit ribosomal RNA", at positions 524 to 776 of the family's 1533-position model. The record is from RNAcentral.